UACGUAGGGGGCUAGCGUUGCCCGGAAUCAUUGGGCGUAAAGCGCGUGUAGGCGGUCCGGUAAGUCCGCUGUGAAAGUCGGGGGCUCAACCCUCGGAUGCCGGUGGAUACUGUCGGGCUUGAGUACGGAAGAGGCGAGUGGAAUUCCUGGUGUAGCGGUGAAAUGCGCAGAUAUCAGGAGGAACACCAAUUGCGAAGGCGGCUCACUGGUCCGGUACUGACGCUGAGGUGCGAAAGCAUGGGUAGCGAACAGG
This 253-nucleotide ribosomal RNA is filed under the name uncultured bacterium. Its description in RNAcentral is "partial 16S ribosomal RNA". It matches the Rfam family "Bacterial small subunit ribosomal RNA", at positions 524 to 776 of the family's 1533-position model. The record is from RNAcentral.